Molecule: ribosomal RNA, 396 nt
Filed under: uncultured bacterium
Lineage: Bacteria
Description: bacterial SSU rRNA
Rfam family: Bacterial small subunit ribosomal RNA
Source: RNAcentral
AUUGAACGCUGGCGGAAUGCUUUACACAUGCAAGUCGAACGGCAGCACGGGGCAACCUGGUGGCGAGUGGCGAACGGGUGAGUAAUACAUCGGAACGUGCCCAAUCGUGGGGGAUAACGUAGCGAAAGUUACGCUAAUACCGCAUACGAUCUACGGAUGAAAGCGGGGGAUCGCAAGACCUCGCGCGAAUGGAGCGGCCGAUGUCAGAUUAGGUAGUUGGUGGGGUAAAGGCUCACCAAGCCAACGAUCUGUAGCUGGUCUGAGAGGACGACCAGCCACACUGGGACUGAGACACGGCCCAGACUCCUACGGGAGGCAGCAGUGGGGAAUUUUGGACAAUGGGCGCAAGCCUGAUCCAGCCAUGCCGCGUGAGUGAAGAAGGCCUCGGUUGUAAGA